AAGAAGGUGAUAGACCUGUACGGGUGGCGAGACGGUCGGUUGGUCGCUCCUUGGAGUCGGGUUGCCUGGGAUCGCAGCCCAAAGUUGGUGGUAGACCUCAUCUAAGGCUAAAUAUGGCCACGAAACCGAUAGCAAACAAGUACCGUGAGGGAAAGUUGCAAAGAACUUUGAAGAGAGAGUUCAAGAGGGCGUGAAACCGCCGAGAUUGAAACGGAUAGAGUUGACGAAACUCGAUCGCAUUCAUCCGAUCCGCCUAGCGGUUCGGCGGUUGUUGACUUCCUCGAUGAGGGCAACGCCGUCGCUGGCUGUUGGGUGUUAGAUGGGUGUAUUUGCGGUCGGUAUGCGCCGAGAGCUUUGCGAACGCAUGUUGGCGUUGAUGUAGUGGACCACUCCCUCCGGGCGUGGAACCCUGCACUGACUGAGGCAUGUCGUUUGUAGGGUGUUGCUGGUUGACGUCUCCGCUAUGGUGCGUCGGCUUUGCGGACUGUUGUGGCUACUGGGUGAUCGCAUGCGAGCGCCUGUGGUUUAUGAUCGUACGAUGAGGUGCAGACGCGCUUGAGGACUGCAUCUCGGUGUGAA
This 579-nucleotide ribosomal RNA is filed under the name Anisakis simplex (herring worm). RNAcentral describes it as "eukaryotic LSU rRNA". The stretch from base 1 to 412 matches the Rfam family "Eukaryotic large subunit ribosomal RNA", at positions 206 to 664 of the family's 3401-position model. The record is from RNAcentral. Lineage: Eukaryota; Metazoa; Nematoda; Chromadorea; Rhabditida; Anisakidae.